Molecule: ribosomal RNA, 468 nt
Filed under: uncultured bacterium
Lineage: Bacteria
Description: partial 16S ribosomal RNA
Rfam family: Bacterial small subunit ribosomal RNA
Source: RNAcentral
GACGAACGCUGGCGGCGUGCUUAACACAUGCAAGUCGAACGGAAAGGCCCUGCUUUUGUGGGGUGCUCGAGUGGCGAACGGGUGAGUAACACGUGAGUAACCUGCCCUUGACUUUGGGAUAACUUCAGGAAACUGGGGCUAAUACCGGAUAGGAGCUCCUGCUGCAUGGUGGGGGUUGGAAAGUUUCGGCGGUUGGGGAUGGACUCGCGGCUUAUCAGCUUGUUGGUGGGGUAGUGGCUUACCAAGGCUUUGACGGGUAGCCGGCCUGAGAGGGUGACCGGCCACAUUGGGACUGAGAUACGGCCCAGACUCCUACGGGAGGCAGCAGUGGGGAAUAUUGCACAAUGGGCGGAAGCCUGAUGCAGCAACGCCGCGUGAGGGAUGACGGCAUUCGGGUUGUAAACCGCUUUCGCCUGUGACGAAGCGUGAGUGACGGUAAUGGGUAAAGAAGCACCGGCUAACUACGUG